Long non-coding RNA from Amborella trichopoda, 3802 nucleotides. RefSeq lists it as uncharacterized. NCBI's taxonomy places the organism in Eukaryota, Viridiplantae, Streptophyta, Magnoliopsida, Amborellales, Amborellaceae. The record is from RefSeq and is a predicted model, not a curated record.
CGUCUUGCCUCAAAAGGCAUAAUAGACAAAGGCCGGGAAAUACGGACUUGAGAGCCAAGAAACUGCAACAAUGGUGGCCGUGUUACUUACUAGUUACUACGGUUCCCAACACUUCAUCACAUCUCUGCGUUUAGUAGAGCAGCAAGAUGCAAAUGUGGUGAUUUUUAUCAAUUGCAUGGUGGAUUGCUCGACUCAAACUUCUGUGUAAAGGGAGGAUUAAUAUAUCCAGAUAACUUCUGAUUGCAGCUGCAGUAGAUCUACUUGAAUUGCUUCUAUUUUACCAGCUUCAAGUCAUCAAUGAAAUGCUUAAUCCAGAUAGUACAAGUACAUGCAAUGCUACAACAAUGUACUCUGCUUCUUGUGCGUACCUUGCAAUACACUAUUGUCUCUUGCUAAACCAAGAAAGUGCUGCACUUCCAAAGAGGAAAACAUGCAUUGAGGUGGAUUUACUAUUGUUCUUAUCCCCUGCAAAAUCUACAUUUGAAUAUCCUAGAACUUCAAGCUUAUUCACUUCAAAACAUAAUUUAAGAUGUUUUGUUCCCUUAAUAUACUUUAGAAUUCAUUUGACUGCUUUCUAAUGGGCUAUACCGUGAUUAUUUUGAUAUCUACGUACAAGAAUUACAACAUAGCUCAAAUAUAGUAUUGUACAUCAUACUGCAUAUACUAAGCUAUUAAUAACUUGUGUAUAUGGAUCAUUAGGCUUUUCUUGUUCUUCUAUUGGAAAAUUCUUCUCAUAUAACUUUAUUUCCUUUUCAACAGGAGUAAACAGUGGUCUAAAAUUUUCCAUUUUAGAUCUCGUAAUAACAGAUUCAAGAUAUCUGCAUUGCGUUAAGUUUAACAUUCUAGAUUUUUUAUCUCUAGUUAUUUUUAUGUUUAGGCAAUAAGAUGCUUCUCCCAUAUCUUUCAUCUCAAACCAAGAAGAAAGCUAUAACAUAGUUUUAUCAAUCAUUUUAAAGUUAUUUCUAGCUAAUAUGAUAUCAACUAUAUAUAAUAAGAAUAUUGUGAAAUUUCACCCACUCUUAAGACAUAUACACAAUUAUCCAGUCUAUUUAAUUCAUAUCCCAUUUGAAGGAUAACAUCAUAAAAUGUUAAAUAUCAUUACCUUGAAGAUUGUUUUAAACCAUAUAAGAACUUGUUUAAUAUAUAUACUUUGCUUUCUUGGCCUUUAAUUAUGAAACCCUUGUGUUGCUUCAUAUAGAUAGUUUCCUUUAGUUUGUCAUUCAAGAAUGCCAUCUUUACAUUCAUUUAGUAUAGUUUUACGUCAUAAUAUGCUACAACUACCAAAAUUAUUCUAAUGAAUAUAAAUUUGCAAUAGGGAAAUAAGUGUUAACAUAGUCAACCCUUGUUCUUUGGGUAAAACAUUUUGCUACUAACCUAGCUUUAAAUUUAUCAAUAGAUCCAUCAGAUUUUAACUUCUUUUUAAGUACCCAUUUGCAACCUAUAGGUUUUCUAUCUGAUGGUAAAUCACAUAGAUCCUAAACUUUAUUUUUCUCAAUGGAAUCAAUUUCUUCUCUCAUGGCGUUAAGCCAUUCUUGAGAUUCUUGUAACUUUAUUGCAUCAAAGAAGUCAAAGGGAUCAUCAAUUUUAUCUAGGUCAAUAUUAUUAUCUAUCUCCUCAUUCAUGACCUAGAAAUCGUAUGAUAAAUGAGCUCUAAAUCGCUUUUGACUACAUAACAUAGGGUGUUUGGGCACUUCAAUAUCAUUAUGUUGAUUAGGGUUAUCCAUAUCCACUGUAGGUGGUGAUUCUAAGUUAUCUAUGAUCUUAAGUGGAUCAUCAUUAUCUACUAUAGGUGGGUUUUUUUCAUUGAAUUAUUUUGGAAACUCAGCAUCUCUACUUUCAAUGAGUCUUAUCCUUAUGAUAAAAUCUAUAGCCCUUUGAACAUUCACGGUAUCCUAUAAAAUAAAAAAUGAAAGUUUUGUUUUCUAAUUUAUUUAUUUGCUAAUAUAGAAUUAAAACAUGUACUGUUGACCCCCAGUUCUUUAAGUUGCUUAGAUUAGGUCUUCUACUCAUAGGGGUGGUAAUGGACCCAGGACCCAUACCCGGGUAUACUCGACAUGGGUUUGGGUAUGAGUUCAACAUUUGGACCUGUCGGGUCGUGUCCGGGUCCAAAACUUGGACUCGUACACUAGGUAUGGGUUCGAUUGGACCCGACUGUUGAGUAUUGAUGUAUUGUAUUCUUAAAAAAUAUAUUUGCCAAGGUGGAGUCAAAGAGACGACUUUGGAGGGUCGUUAAAAGCUCGAAAGGACUCAAUAAAUCUGUAAUGGGGUAUUUCGAUAAUUUGUACCAUCUACCUGGGACUCAAUAUUUAUUGUUGCGAUAGAGGCUCUUUUAGGGUUAAAGAAAAAAGGAGAUUUCUUUACAGUUAGCAAGUAGAGAGAGGUGUCAGGAAGAGAACAAUUGUAACCUUAUUCUCCAUUACCAGUAAAGAAACUCUCAUCUCCCCGUGGACGUAGGCAUGUUGCCAAACUACGUAUAUUUUUGCAUUGUAGUUAGUUGUCUCUUUCUUUUGGUAAUUGUUUCUUCUUUUUUGCUUCGUGGAUUGUUAUUUCGUUUCUACAAAUUGGUAUCAAAACCUACCAGAUUAUUCCGUUUUCUGGGGUUUGCUACCACGAUGACAGGAAGUGGCUCAAGCGUUACGUAUGACAUUGAGAAGUUUAAUGGAAAGAACAACUUCUUUGACGACAAAGGAUGGAGGAUCAUCUGAUACAGCAAGGUCUGGCUAAGGCUUUACUGGGUAAAUCAAAGAAACUAACAAAGAUAGACGAUGAAGAGUGGCAAGAGAUUGAAGAAAAGGCGGUAAGCACGAUUCGUUUGAAUCUAUCAGAUGACGCCUUGCGUUAUGUGGUGGACGUCAAAACUGUUCCGGAGGUCUGGACAAAACUCGAAAGUAUUUACAUGACAAAAUCCUUACGAACAAAUAGUUCUUGAAGAAGCAGUUGUAUUCUCUUCAGAUGGAAGAGAGCAAUUGCAACCCUAUUCUCCAUUGCCAGUAAAGACGCUUUCAUCUCCUCGUGGACGUAAGCAUGUUGCCGAACCACGUAUAUCUUUGCGUUGUGGUUGGUUGUCUCUUUCUUUGGAUGUUUGUUUCUUCUUUCUUGCUUCGUGGAUUGUUAUUUUGUUUCUACAAAUUGGUAUCAGAGCCUUCCAGGUUAUUUCGUUUUCUCGGGUUUGCUAGCACGAUGACAGGAAAAGGCUCAAGCGUCAAGUCUGACAUUGAGAAGUUCAAUGGAAAGAACAACUUCACUCUUUGGCGACGAAGGAUGAAGGAUCUUCUGAUACAACAAGGUCUGGCUAAGGCUUUCUUCAAUAAAUCGAAGAAACCAGCAAAGAUAGACGAUGAAGAGUGGCAAGAGAUUGAAGAAAAGGCGGUAAGAGCGAUUCGUCUAAAUCUAUCAGAUGACGCCUUACGUUAUAUGGUGGAUCUCGAAACUGCUCCAGAGGUUUGGACAAAACUCGAGAGUAUUUACAUGACAAAAUCCCUAAUGAACAAGUUGUUCUUGAAGAAGCAAUUGUAUCCUCUUCAUAUGGGAGAAGGCAUGGAUCUGAUUGACGAGAAAAAUUUUGUAUCCAUACAUGGGGUAUUUCGGUAAUUUGUACCAUCUGUCUGUGACUUAAUAUAUAUUGUUGCGAUGGGGGUUCUUUCAGGGUUAAGGAAAAAUGGAGAUUUAUUUGCAGUUAGCAAGCAUAGAGAGGUGUGAGGAAGAGAGCAAUUGUAGCCCUAUUUUUCAUUGCCAGUAAAGAAGCUCUUAUCUCCCCGUGGAUGGAGGCACAUUGUUAAACUACAUAUAUCUUUGCAUUGUA